AUCGCCUUGAGGUCCACACGUCUGCUGUGAGAAUGCUUCUCAGUUGAGGAACUGCAAUCCAAGUGCCACAGGUCACAGCCUUCUCAAUACAUAGAUUUUGGAUAGUUUGGAGCAGAGUUAUUCAAAGUUUUUGUGUGCUAGAAUAAAAGGUAAGGCAUAUGAAUAAUAAUAAUAAUGGAGGGGAAUUCGAUGAGUAGCACGAGCAGUUUUUCUUAUCAACUUGAAACACAGGUGUAUGGGAACGGUAGUACUCGUGCAUAUAGCAAUUCAUCAACUACAGCUCUGCUUCAUCUUCUGCCGCCGUUGACAGAUGAUGGGGGUUCUCUAAAGUCUAGAGUCUAAAUUGUCGGAAAAUAUUCAGACUCGUUUCUAUAAGCGCGCGCGAGUUCUCCAGACUUGAGUGGCUACUCAGAAAGUGAAAAAAUAUCAAGUGAUCAUUGACGUUGUUGGUGGCAGCCAUUCAAGUAGCGCAUCUAAUUAUUCACGCCGUUAAUUCCAUCGACGGAUUUGAUCUGACGAGCUGUGCGGACAGCACUGGCAAAAAUUACGUGGUACUAGAUAAAGAUUUCACAGCUCGAACAAGAGAACACUAUUUUCGUGACUGGCAGUAAGGGAAGUAUCUAAAGGUGGCUGCUUAUCAUGGUUGUUGACUACCGAUCGAUGCCUGCAUAUGCUCAAAGUUCGUGUUAAUUAAAGUUGCAUUUUCAAGUCAGAGAGAACAGCAGAGAAAUUCUGAAAUGGCAGCCUUUGUUGCUCAAAACAAAUAAAAGCUGUUUUGUUAUUAAAUUGUAAUUUCUAUUGGUGUUGAAAGCGAAGCAAUUAAACUUUAUCAAUUCAGAGAAUCCCGCUUUGAUGCGAUAAACCAAUUAUCAUUAUUGUUAGGUGCCUGGUAUAUAUAUAUUUGAUAAUUACCAUUUACCUCUUUAUCAGCAAUAUUUGUUUCCUUUUUUAAUUAGGAAGUUUAGUACCCUCGUAAAAAAGUGUGAUCAAAGUAAUCUGAACUACUGUGAAUAAAUAAUUGCCACAAUUAAAGUGGUUCAUAUUAUGUUAGA
Drosophila santomea is the source of this 1052-nucleotide long non-coding RNA. RefSeq lists it as uncharacterized. The record is from RefSeq and is a predicted model, not a curated record. Lineage: Eukaryota; Metazoa; Arthropoda; Insecta; Diptera; Drosophilidae. The transcript is spliced from 4 exons.